This 253-nucleotide ribosomal RNA is filed under the name uncultured bacterium. Its description in RNAcentral is "partial 16S ribosomal RNA". It matches the Rfam family "Bacterial small subunit ribosomal RNA", at positions 524 to 776 of the family's 1533-position model. The record is from RNAcentral.
UACGUAGGGUCCGAGCGUUGUCCGGAAUUAUUGGGCGUAAAGGGCUCGUAGGCGGUUUGUCGCGUCGGGAGUGAAAACUCAGGGCUUAACCCUGAGCCUGCUUCCGAUACGGGCAGACUAGAGGUAUGCAGGGGAGAACGGAAUUCCUGGUGUAGCGGUGAAAUGCGCAGAUAUCAGGAGGAACACCGGUGGCGAAGGCGACUACCUGGCCCAUUCUUGACGCUGAGGCGCGAAAGCUAGGGGAGCGAACGGG